Molecule: ribosomal RNA, 464 nt
Filed under: uncultured bacterium
Lineage: Bacteria
Description: partial 16S ribosomal RNA
Rfam family: Bacterial small subunit ribosomal RNA
Source: RNAcentral
CUACGGGUCGCAGCAGUGGGGAAUAUUGCACAAUGGGCGCAAGCCUGAUGCAGCCAUGCCGCGUGUAUGAAGAAGGCCUUCGGGUUGUAAAGUACUUUCAGCGGGGAGGAAGGGAGUAAAGUUAAUACCUUUGCUCAUUGACGUUACCCGCAGAAGAAGCACCGGCUAACUCCGUGCCAGCAGCCGCGGUAAUACGGAGGGUGCAAGCGUUAAUCGGAAUUACUGGGCGUAAAGCGCACGCAGGCGGUUUGUUAAGUCAGAGGUGAAAUCCCCGGGCUCAACCUGGGAACUGCAUCUGAUAAUGUCAAGCUCGAGUCUCGGAGAGGGGGGUAGAAUUCCAGGUGUAGCGGUGAAAUGCGUAGAGACCUGGAGGAAUACCGGUGGCGAAGGCGGCCGCCUGGACGAAGACUGACGCUCAGGUGCGAAAGCGUGGGGAGCAAACAGGAUUAGAUACCCUAGUAGUC